This 315-nucleotide ribosomal RNA is filed under the name uncultured eukaryote. Its description in RNAcentral is "partial 18S ribosomal RNA". It matches the Rfam family "Eukaryotic small subunit ribosomal RNA", at positions 1470 to 1796 of the family's 1831-position model. The record is from RNAcentral.
CCCUUAGACGUUCUGGGCCGCACGCGCGCUACACUGACCAGUGCAACAAGCAUCCGUCCUUGGCCGACAGGCUCGGGCAAUCUUUGAACGCUGGUCGUGAUGGGGAUAGACUUUUGCAAUUUUUGGUCUUCAACGAGGAAUUCCUAGUAAGCGCAAGUCAUCAACUUGCAUUGAUUACGUCCCUGCCCUUUGUACACACCGCCCGUCGCACCUACCGAUUGAAUGGUCCGGUGAAGCCUCCGGAUUGGCGCGCACCUCGGUGCCGCCGAGAAGUUGGCUAAACCUUACCAUUUAGAGGAAGGUGAAGUCGUAACA